RNAcentral lists this long non-coding RNA (490 nucleotides) under Equus asinus (donkey). RNAcentral's name for it is "lncRNA (ENSEASG00005032931.1)". Lineage: Eukaryota; Metazoa; Chordata; Mammalia; Perissodactyla; Equidae. The record is from RNAcentral.
CUGGAAUUCAACCAUUAAUUCAACGCAGCGUGAUCAUUCAUUUAUUUACUCAUUCUACAAGUUCGUGUCGAGAGCCAGUUGUGUGCCAGGUGCUCACACUGGUCUUGGGGACAGAGCAGUGAUCAAAACAGACACAAGUCUCCGCCCGCAUGGAUCUUACACUCUAGCUGGGAAGAGCCAGUAAACCAAUUGGUCACUCUGGCUGCUGUCUUUGGAAUAGACAGGAGACAGGACAGAAGCGAGGGGGUGGAUUAAAAGGCUAUGACAACAAUCCAGAAAGUGGAAUGUAAUAUUUUAGCUUAAGUCAAUAUCCAAGACCAUCUGCCAAGGACUUCACUUUCUUCCUCUGCUGGAGGAUGUCAGUCUUUCUAGCAACUGAUUUGCAGCCAGCAAUUGUUCACCUUGGGCUGAGGACUAAAGUCCAAACGAAUCUGUUGACCUCAGCUGCAGCUGCAUAGUUGAGAUUUCAGUGUGCUGCAUAGAAACUGUG